RNAcentral lists this ribosomal RNA (253 nucleotides) under uncultured bacterium. Its description in RNAcentral is "partial 16S ribosomal RNA". It matches the Rfam family "Bacterial small subunit ribosomal RNA", at positions 524 to 776 of the family's 1533-position model. The record is from RNAcentral.
UACAGAGGGUGCAAGCGUUGUUCGGAAUUAUUGGGCGUAAAGCGCGCGCAGGCGGUUUCUCAAGUCUGAUGUGAAAGCCCCCGGCUCAACCGGGGAGGGUCAUUGGAAACUGGGAAACUUGAGUGCAGGAGAGAAGAGCGGAAUUCCACGUGUAGCGGUGAAAUGCGUAGAGAUGUGGAGGAACACCAGUGGCGAAGGCGGCUCUUUGGCCUGUAACUGACGCUGAGGCGCGAAAGCGUGGGGAGCAAACAGG